CUGCUGCCUCCCGUAGGAGUUUGGACCGUGUCUCAGUUCCAAUGUGGGGGACCUUCCUCUCAGAACCCCUACGCAUCGUCGCCACGGUGGGCCGUUACCCCGCCGUCUAGCUAAUGCGCCGCAUGCCCAUCCUCUUCCGAUGAAUCUUUCCUCGAUCUCGGAUGCCCGAAACCGAUAUACGCGGGAUUAGCCUCCCUUUCGGAAGGUUGUCCCCCUGAAGAGGGCAGGUUGCAUACGUGUUACUCACCCGUGCGCCGGUCGCCGG
RNAcentral lists this ribosomal RNA (265 nucleotides) under uncultured bacterium. RNAcentral's name for it is "partial 16S ribosomal RNA". The record is from RNAcentral.